This 253-nucleotide ribosomal RNA is filed under the name uncultured bacterium. RNAcentral's name for it is "partial 16S ribosomal RNA". It matches the Rfam family "Bacterial small subunit ribosomal RNA", at positions 524 to 776 of the family's 1533-position model. The record is from RNAcentral.
UACGAAGGGAGCAAGCGUUGUCCGGAUUUAUUGGGCGUAAAGAGCGCGUAGGCGGCCGAGUAAGUCCGACGUGAAAUCUGGAGGCUCAACCUCCAGCGGUCGUUGGAAACUACUCGGCUAGAGUCCGGAAGAGGCGAGUGGAAUUCCUGGUGUAGCGGUGGAAUGCGCAGAUAUCAGGAGGAACACCGAUAGCGAAGGCAGCUCGCUGGGACGGUACUGACGCUGAGGCGCGGAAGCGUGGGGAGCGAACAGG